UCUAGCUGUACUAUAUUAAUGUCUUUGUUUAUAAUUAUUAGUAAAUAUCUCACUUGCUGAAUAAUAGCGCUUGAAAAAAAAUAACAAUUUUUUUCCCCUUAGUUGGUGCUUCCCGUGCUGCUGUUGAUGCUGGCUUUGUUCCCAAUGACAUGCAAGUUGGUCAGACAGGAAAAAUAGUGGCCCCAUGGUCUACAUUACUGCACCUGAUGGCUUUUCACUGUCUAUUUGUCAGUCUCUGCUGGCUGCGCUUGUCUCAGCUGCUGCCUCUGAUGCUCGGCAGUGAUGUCAUGCUGUUGACUGUCAUUUUUGGUUCCCUCUCCCUGAGUUUAUAACCAGCCUUCUUCUGAGCUAAUCCGAGACUUCCCUGCUGUGUCUCGAUCUGAGGGCAGUGCUGUGGGAGAGCAGGUGAGAGGCUCCUCUUUAGUUUGUUCUGUGAUUCAGGGCCGUAUGUAGCUGUGUUGAGGUUUUAGUAUUAAAAUUAGUCGCCUGUUUCCUUUAGCUUAAUUGACUACUAAAACAUUUCAAUUCAGUAUGUUGCUUACACCCUGGCGAUGUUUAUGCUGAGUAUCUCUGACUUAGACUGCUAUGUGAAGCUAAAAUCGCAGUGUGCAAACGGGAGCAGCUUUCCCCUGAGCCUCUCAAGCAGCUUCCUGGGAGAAUUCCAGAUCUCCUGCACAAGUUUUGGGUAGUGCAGGAGUGGUAUCAGUGCACACUUUCUGAAGAAAGGAGCCAAAUCCUGGCCAUCUUCAGAGAGGGCUCCAACCCUGCUGAGCCCUCCCUCCGGUUGGUUAGAUUUCUGUAAAAGUUGUAAGAUUCAUCCCGGUAGUCCUUACGUUUCUCAGACUACAGUUUUGUCCUCAUGUUAGAACCAUUAAAAAGCCUGCCUUGUCUGAAGGACUGAGGAACAAAGGGAUAGAAUGCAAAAGUAGGCUCCUGUUUCCCAGAGGAUAAAGAUAACCAUCUCUGCUGGGCACGGUGGCUUACACCUGUAAUUCCAGCUAGUUGGGAAGCAGAGAUCAGGAGGAUUGCAGUUCCAGGCCAGAUCAGGCAAAAAGUUACUGAGACCCCCAUCUUAACCAACAAGGCAGGUAUGGUGGUUCAGAUCUUUAAUCUUGGCUAGCUGUGUAUGUGUGGGGGUGGGCACAGAUAGGAUGAUUGCAGUCCAAGGCCAGUCCUGGGUGAAAAAUGACUGAAGCAAAAGGGCUGGAGGCAUGUAGUAACAGGUACAAGGCCCUGAGUUUAAACUCCAGUACCUCUAAAAAAGAGAAAAGAUACUACCCCUGAGCUGCUUCCUGCCACCAAAGCCCUUUUCACCUCCUGGUGGCAGGUAUA
RNAcentral lists this long non-coding RNA (1332 nucleotides) under Castor canadensis (American beaver). RNAcentral describes it as "lncRNA (ENSCCNG00000030802.1)". The record is from RNAcentral. Lineage: Eukaryota; Metazoa; Chordata; Mammalia; Rodentia; Castoridae.